Molecule: long non-coding RNA, 381 nt
Filed under: Rattus norvegicus (Norway rat)
Lineage: Eukaryota; Metazoa; Chordata; Mammalia; Rodentia; Muridae
Description: long non-coding RNA NONRATT004813
Source: RNAcentral
UCAGAGGAUGAUGACAAAAAAGACGACAAGAAUUAGCCCUGUCUUCCAGUGUUGCCCGGUCUGGCCUAGAACUUUGAAUCCUCUGCCUCCCUUCAGUAUCGGAAGUACAGGGCUGCGUGCCACUGCAGCAGGCAUCAUUUCCUUACCAGAAGCCCCUCUUGCCUCAGUUCAACUUCUUAAGGUGGCUUCCACAGCUUCGUGACUGUAGAUAGACACUGUAGACUUAAAGCCUGGUACUUUAAAAUAGUCUCAGUUUAUUAAUGUAGCAAAUACUUGAGCAUUUGCUGCACAUAUUGUUAGGAACUGGCACAUCAUUCAGUAUUUCAUAUUGCUGGGAAAUUAUUUACUGAUAACACUUCCAAAUACAGUUAUCUGAAAACA